RNAcentral lists this ribosomal RNA (481 nucleotides) under uncultured bacterium. Its description in RNAcentral is "partial 16S ribosomal RNA". It matches the Rfam family "Bacterial small subunit ribosomal RNA", at positions 28 to 507 of the family's 1533-position model. The record is from RNAcentral.
GAUGAACGCUGGCGGCGUGCUUAACACAUGCAAGUCGAACGAAGCACUUUAUUUGAUUUCCUUCGGGACUGAUUAUUUUGUGACUGAGUGGCGGACGGGUGAGUAACGCGUGGGUAACCUGCCUUGUACAGGGGGAUAACAGUUGGAAACGGCUGCUAAUACCGCAUAAGCGCACAGCAUCGCAUGAUGCAGUGUGAAAAACUCCGGUGGUAUAAGAUGGACCCGCGUUGGAUUAGCUAGUUGGUGAGGUAACGGCCCACCAAGGCGACGAUCCAUAGCCGACAUGAGAGGGUGACCGGCCACAUUGGGACUGAGACACGGCCCAAACUCCUACGGGAGGCAGCAGUGGGGAAUAUUGCACAAUGGGCGAAAGCCUGAUGCAGCGACGCCGCGUGAGCGAAGAAGUAUUUCGGUAUGUAAAGCUCUAUCAGCAGGGAAGAUAAUGACGGUACCUGACGAAGAAGCACCGGCUAAAUACGUG